Non-coding RNA from Rattus norvegicus (Norway rat), 1112 nucleotides. Lineage: Eukaryota; Metazoa; Chordata; Mammalia; Rodentia; Muridae. The record is from RefSeq and is a predicted model, not a curated record.
UUGUCUCCAAAUCUACUAUAGGUGACACAGCAAACCUUGUCCCUGGCUCUCUGCUUUUUGGCUAACUGAGUUUGUAUUUUUUGUCUCAUGGAAGCAGUAACAGUUCACAGUGCAGUGAAUACUCUGCAGAUUUGUGAAAAGCAGGAUAGGAACUUCUCCUUAAAUAAAGAGUUGCAAUAUGGAUGUUUAGUAGGAAGCUGAGAAAGGGAGUUUCAAUAAAGUUGGCUGGUUAGUUGAAAUCCUAAUGGAGAUGCCAGAUACUUCAAAUAAUGAAAAAGAUGAAUCAGAUAAGUGACAGGACAAAUAUUACUUUAUUAGGAGUCCAGUGACAGCUUGAUCAAUAAGCACUGAGACACCAAUGGUUUAUAGAAAGACUUAGCUUAGGUAAAAGGAAUUCCCCCAUAGAAUAGCGCAUGUACCUAUGUAACAAAGCAGAAAGUGGUAUCCAUGGCUCUGUUACCAGGGUAUCCACCUGUCUGUGUCAUUGAGGCUAUUCUCAUGGCUGAGAUGGAGAAUGAGGCAAAGGGGAGAAUGCUUGCUUUCAAAGCUGUGUGUCAGCCUCGAUUUCCUUAUCUCUGUAUGGCAUUGUAAUGGUUUGCAUCUGCUUGGCCCAGGGAGUGGCAUGAUUAGAAGGUAAAAACGUAGAACUCAGCUCCUCCUGCACCAUGCCUACCUAGAUGCUGCCAUGCCUCCACCUUGAUGACAAUGGACUGAACCUCUGAACCUGCUGGAACCUAGCAUGGCUGUUCUCUCAGAGACUUUACCUGCAGCUGACUAAGACAGAUGCAGAUACUUACAGACAACCAUUGCAAUGAAGUUGGGGACCUCUAUGGAGGAGUUAUGAGAAGGAUUGAAGGAGCUGAAUGGGACGGGAUGCCCAUAAGAAGACCAACCGUUUCAACAAACCUGGAAAUGUGCGAGCUCCCAGAGACUAAGCCACCAACCAAAGAGCAUACAUGGGCUGGUCAGAGACUCCAGCAUGUAUCUAACAAGGAACUGCAUUGUCUGGCCUUAGGGGAAGAGGAUUCACCUAAUUCUAUAGAGACCUGAUGUCUCAGGAAAGGGGGAUGCUGGAGGUGAGGAGCACCCUCAUGGAAGCAAAGGGGAGAAGA